This is a small nuclear RNA of Rattus norvegicus (Norway rat), 103 nucleotides long. The record is from Ensembl. Lineage: Eukaryota; Metazoa; Chordata; Mammalia; Rodentia; Muridae.
UUCAUCAGCAGAUAUGAUAUAUGAAAGUUGGAACAGUACAGAGAAAAUUAGCAUAGACCCUGUGCAAGAAUGACACAUAGAACAUGAAUUUCAAUAAUUAGAA